Molecule: ribosomal RNA, 479 nt
Filed under: uncultured bacterium
Lineage: Bacteria
Description: partial 16S ribosomal RNA
Rfam family: Bacterial small subunit ribosomal RNA
Source: RNAcentral
GACGAACGCUGGCGGCGUGCUUAACACAUGCAAGUCGAACGAUGAACCCGGAGCUUGCUCCGGCGGAUUAGUGGCGAACGGGUGAGUAACACGUGAGUAACCUGCCCUUGACUCUGGGAUAACUGCUAGAGGUGCUAAUACCGGAUACGAACUCCUUGGGCAUCCUUGGAGUUGGAAAGUUUUUCGGUCUGGGAUGGGCCCGCGGCCUAUCAGCUUGUUGGUGAGGUAACGGCUCACCAAGGCGACGACGGGUAGCCGGCCUGAGAGGGCGACCGGCCACACUGGGACUGAGACACGGCCCAGACUCCUACGGGAGGCAGCAGUGGGGAAUAUUGCGCAAUGGGCGAAAGCCUGACGCAGCAACGCCGCGUGAGGGAUGACGGCCUUCGGGUUGUAAACCUCUUUCAGCAGGGAAGAAGCGAAAGUGACGGUACCUGCAGAAGAAGCACCGGCUAACUACGUGCCAGCCGCCGCGGUAA